CUUUUUAUUUGGGCAUGCCCACUUUCGGGAUCAUGCCGUUACUCGCCGCCUUUGUAGACGCGGGUAUAGCGCCGGCCGAGACUGGUCAGCACUUCAUAGCCGAUGGUGCCGAAGUGGUGCGCGAGCGUAUCGACAGUGAUCUCGUUGUUGAGGAGUGACACCAGCGUGCCGCGCCGGGUUGCGCCGNNNNNNNNNNNNNUGAUGUCGAUCGCCAUCAGAUCCAUCGAGAUCCGCCCGGCGAUCGGGCAACGUUUCCCGGC
Molecule: unclassified non-coding RNA, 260 nt
Filed under: Hevea brasiliensis (rubber tree)
Lineage: Eukaryota; Viridiplantae; Streptophyta; Magnoliopsida; Malpighiales; Euphorbiaceae
Source: RNAcentral